CCUACGGGAGGCAGCAGUGAGGAAUAUUGGUCAAUGGACGAGAGUCUGAACCAGCCAAGUAGCGUGAAGGAUGACUGCCCUAUGGGUUGUAAACUUCUUUUAUAAAGGAAUAAAACGAGGCACGUGUGCCUUUUUGCAUGUACUUUAUGAAUAAGGAUCGGCUAACUCCGUGCCAGCAGCCGCGGUAAUACGGAGGAUCCGAGCGUUAUCCGGAUUUAUUGGGUUUAAAGGGAGCGUAGAUGGGUUGUUAAGUCAGUUGUGAAAGUUUGCGGCUCAACCGUAAAAUUGCAAUUGAUACUGGCAGUCUUGAGUACAGUUGAGGUAGGCGGAAUUCGUGGUGUAGCGGUGAAAUGCUUAGAUAUCACGAAGAACACCGAUUGCGAAGGCAGCUUACUAAACUGUGACUGACAUUGAUGCUCGAAAGUGUGGGUAUCGAACAGGAUUAGAUACCCUGGUAGUC
Molecule: ribosomal RNA, 460 nt
Filed under: uncultured bacterium
Lineage: Bacteria
Description: partial 16S ribosomal RNA
Rfam family: Bacterial small subunit ribosomal RNA
Source: RNAcentral